This 547-nucleotide ribosomal RNA is filed under the name Ophiocordyceps macroacicularis. Its description in RNAcentral is "eukaryotic LSU rRNA". The stretch from base 159 to 312 matches the Rfam family "5.8S ribosomal RNA". Lineage: Eukaryota; Fungi; Ascomycota; Sordariomycetes; Hypocreales; Ophiocordycipitaceae. The record is from RNAcentral.
ACUCCCAAACCCCCUGCGAACCUUACCACACGCGUUGCCUCGGCGGGACCGCCCCGGCGCCCCAGCGGCCCGGACCAAGGCGCCCGCCGGAGGACCACCCAGACUCUCCUGUCGCAGUGGCAUUUCUCUCCGAGUCAAAAAACAAGCAAAUGAAUCAAAACUUUCAACAACGGAUCUCUUGGUUCUGGCAUCGAUGAAGAACGCAGCGAAAUGCGAUAAGUAAUGUGAAUUGCAGAAUUCAGUGAAUCAUCGAAUCUUUGAACGCACAUUGCGCCCGCCAGUACUCUGGCGGGCAUGCCUGUCCGAGCGUCAUUUCAACCCUCGAGCCCCCCUCCGCCCCCGGGCGGCGGCGGGGCCCGGCGUUGGGGGUCCACGGCCGCGAGCCGCCCCCGAAAUGCAGUGGCGACCCCGCCGCGGCCUCCCCUGCGCAGUAGCUCCCAGAGAACCUCGCACCGGAAGCGCGGAGGCGGUCACGCCGUAAAACGACCUCCUCCUGGAAGUUGACCUCGGAUCAGGUAGGGAUACCCGCUGAACUUAAGCAUAUCAA